Molecule: ribosomal RNA, 278 nt
Filed under: uncultured Porphyromonas sp.
Lineage: Bacteria; Pseudomonadati; Bacteroidota; Bacteroidia; Bacteroidales; Porphyromonadaceae
Description: partial 16S ribosomal RNA
Source: RNAcentral
GAAGAACGCUGGCGGCUUGUCUAAUAAUGCAAGUUCAAGGAACCGCCACUGACUGCUUGUAAUUGGUCAUGGUGAGUGGCUAACGGGUGAGUAACUAGCGUGUAACCUACCUCUGACAGGGGGAUUUAGAUUAUUAACGACUGCUCAUUAUGCAUGGGCAAGGAAUCACCUGAUUCUGUGAGGAACGGUGGCGCGUCUAUCGUUCUUAUAUGGAUCUGGUGUGCACAACCCAUUUCGUGGGUUCACGGCUUACCGGUUGAAUCGUGCGAAUCCCACUC